RNAcentral lists this ribosomal RNA (252 nucleotides) under uncultured bacterium. RNAcentral's name for it is "partial 16S ribosomal RNA". It matches the Rfam family "Bacterial small subunit ribosomal RNA", at positions 524 to 776 of the family's 1533-position model. The record is from RNAcentral.
UACGUAGGUCCCGAGCGUUGUCCGGAUUUAUUGGGCGUAAAGCGAGCGCAGGUGGUUUAUUAAGUCUGGUGUAAAAGGCAGUGGCUCAACCAUUGUAUGCAUUGGAAACUGGUAGACUUGAGUGCAGGAGAGGAGAGUGGAAUUCCAUAUGUAGCGGUGAAAUGCGUAGAUAUAUGGAGGAACACCGGUGGCGAAAGCGGCUCUCUGGCCUGUAACUGACACUGAGGCUCGAAAGCGUGGGGAGCAAGCAGG